UCCUACGGGCGGCUGCAGUAGGGAAUAUUGCUCAAUGGGCGAAAGCCUGAAGCAGCAACGCCGCGUGUGCGAUGAAGGCCUUCGGGUCGUAAAGCACUUUUCUAAGAGAUGAGAAAGGACAGUAUCUUAGGAAUAAGUCUCGGCUAACUACGUGCCAGCAGCCGCGGUAAAACGUAGGAGGCGAGCGUUAUCCGGAUUCACUGGGCGUAAAGCGCGUGCAGGCGGUUCGGGAAGUUGGGCGUGAAAUCUCCUGGCUUAACUAGGAGAGGUCGUCCAAUACUACCGGGCUUGAGAGGGGUAGAGGAAGAUGGAAUUCCAGGUGUAGUGGUGAAAUGCGUAGAUAUCUGGAGGAACACCAGUGGCGAAAGCGAUCUUCUGGACCAUUUCUGACGCUCAGACGCGAAAGCUAGGGUAGUAAACGGGAUUAGAUACCCUAGUAGUCA
This 443-nucleotide ribosomal RNA is filed under the name uncultured bacterium. RNAcentral describes it as "bacterial SSU rRNA". It matches the Rfam family "Bacterial small subunit ribosomal RNA", at positions 337 to 796 of the family's 1533-position model. The record is from RNAcentral.